Molecule: ribosomal RNA, 429 nt
Filed under: Actinomycetes bacterium
Lineage: Bacteria; Bacillati; Actinomycetota; Actinomycetes
Description: Actinobacteria bacterium partial 16S ribosomal RNA
Rfam family: Bacterial small subunit ribosomal RNA
Source: RNAcentral
UAGGGAAUCUUCCGCAAUGGGCGAAAGCUUGACGGAGCAACGCCGCGUGAGUGAUGAAGGUCUUCGGAUCGUAAAACUCUGUUAUUAGGGAAGAACAAAUGUGUAAGUAACUAUGCACGUCUUGACGGUACCUAAUCAGAAAGCCACGGCUAACUACGUGCCAGCAGCCGCGGUAAUACGUAGGUGGCAAGCGUUAUCCGGAAUUAUUGGGCGUAAAGCGCGCGUAGGCGGUUUUUUAAGUCUGAUGUGAAAGCCCACGGCUCAACCGUGGAGGGUGAUUGGAAACUGGAAAACUUGAGUGCAGAAGAGGAAAGUGGAAUUCCAUGUGUAGCGGUGAAAUGCGCAGAGAUAUGGAGGAACACCAGUGGCGAAGGCGACUUUCUGGUCUGUAACUGACGCUGAUGUGCGAAAGCGUGGGGAUCAAACAGG